Molecule: long non-coding RNA, 411 nt
Filed under: Eucalyptus grandis
Lineage: Eukaryota; Viridiplantae; Streptophyta; Magnoliopsida; Myrtales; Myrtaceae
Description: long non-coding RNA (EGRA_LNC007629)
Source: RNAcentral
UUCAAAAUGUCAAAACGGUCAACUUCACUGAUUCGACAAAUGCCUCUGAGAAACUCCACAUACUAAUUUGCUGACACCACAUAAGAUAGUAGACGAAAAAAUGCUUUGAAAUUUAUAGAAAGCAUUGAAAUGCGCGACGAGGAAGUCACGUGACUUGUUGUCAAAACGAUAAUGUCGCGCCAAAUAUCCUUGCUGUCUUUUUUGAGUCAUAGACGCCGUCGUUUUCUUCUUCUUUUUCAACCCUCCAGCAACUCAGAGUCCCGUCCUCCUUCGAUCAUCGUCAGUCGUCGUCAUCAUCGCUGCGAAAUCAGACGGGUGAACGGACGGCGAUCUCAGCAAGCGAGCUACGACCUGCCAGGCGGAGCGGCGUCGGCGAGCAUGGACGACGCGAAAGCCGUCGAGGUCGCCGGA